Molecule: long non-coding RNA, 347 nt
Organism: Etheostoma cragini (Arkansas darter)
Lineage: Eukaryota; Metazoa; Chordata; Actinopteri; Perciformes; Percidae
Exons: 3
Source: RefSeq, a predicted model, not a curated record
UAUUUCAAGGCUGCUCUCUGUACAAACAACGGCUUUUUUCCCCUUUGAACGACUGCACUUGAGGUUUGCUUCAGUGGUGAGGAUGCUAGCUAUUUGUCAAGUAGUCAUGUUAGCUCACUAGCGGCCACAUAAGCACCACUGAGAUUAGCCAGCCGCGUUAGCAUUAAUAGAUUAAAUGAUGUCAGACAGUAUCAUGAGCAAAACUGCUACCAUGGAGAUCCCCAUUAACAGCAAUGGAGACACAGGGACUCUGCCAGAGGAUGACAGCCCGGAGCAUCACAGUCUAGGAUUGAGGCUGGCUAGGCCAGCUGUUAUCUAACCAUACACAGGCCUGCUGCUAUGUAACA